AUGCCUUAAACUGAUGAGUAAGGAAAAUAACGACGUGGGGUGACGCCUGCGUCCUCGUGCUCACUCACGAGAGGAAUUUUUGAAGGGGUUCAGGUCCGUCUGCUGAGGUGACUCGCUUACUUCGCAAGAUAUCUCGCAGAACCGGGAUCUUCCCU
This is a small nuclear RNA of Pangasianodon hypophthalmus (striped catfish), 155 nucleotides long. RefSeq annotates it as U12 minor spliceosomal RNA. The transcript has a single exon. Lineage: Eukaryota; Metazoa; Chordata; Actinopteri; Siluriformes; Pangasiidae. The record is from RefSeq and is a predicted model, not a curated record.